CAAGGAAUCUUCCGCAAUGGACGCAAGUCUGACGGAGCAACGCCGCGUGGGGGAUGACACCCUUCGGGGCGUAAACCCCUUUUCUUGGGGAAGAAGACCGGGAGCGAUCCUGGUUUGACGGUACCCGAGGAAGAAGGCCCGGCUAACCACGUGCCAGCAGCCGCGGUAAUACGUGGGGGCCGAGCGUUGUCCGGAGUUACUGGGCGUAAAGGGCGCGCAGGCGGCGGCGUGGGUCCGGCGUGAAAGCCCCCGGCUCAACCGGGGAACGUCGUCGGGGACCGCGCCGCUUGAGGGCGGCAGGGGCCGGUGGAAUGCCUGGUGUAGUGGUGAAAUGCGUAGAGAUCAGGCGGAACACCCGUGGCGAAGGCGGCCGGCUGGGCCGUCCCUGACGCUGAGGCGCGAAGGCGUGGGGAGCGAACGGGAUUAGAUACCCCGGUAGUCCACGCAGUAAACGAUGCCGACUGGGCGUGGGGGGAGUUGACCCCCUCCGUGCCGGAGCCAACGCGGGAAGUCGGCCGCCUGGGGA
RNAcentral lists this ribosomal RNA (526 nucleotides) under uncultured bacterium. RNAcentral describes it as "bacterial SSU rRNA". It matches the Rfam family "Bacterial small subunit ribosomal RNA", at positions 355 to 879 of the family's 1533-position model. The record is from RNAcentral.